AGGACGAACGCUGGCGGCGUGCCUAACACAUGCAAGUCGAGCGGUAAGGCCUUUCGGGGUACACGAGCGGCGAACGGGUGAGUAACACGUGGGUGAUCUGCCCUGCACUUCGGGAUAAGCCUGGGAAACUGGGUCUAAUACCGGAUAUGACCUCCUAUCGCAUGGUGGGUGGUGGAAAGAUUUAUCGGUGCAGGGAUGGGCCCGCGGCCUAUCAGCUUGGUUGGUGGGUAAUGGCCUACCAAGGCGACGACGGGUAGCCGACCUGAGAGGGUGACCGGCCACACUGGGACUGAGACACGGCCCAGACUCCUACGGGAGCAGCAGUGGGAAUAUGCACAAUGGACGAAAGCCUGAUGCAGCGACGCCGCGUGAGGAUGGACGGUCCGUUCGGUUACGUAACCUUCUUCAGACGAGGACGAAGCGACGAAGUGACGGUACCGUGACCGAAGAACGAACGCGAACCGG
This 465-nucleotide ribosomal RNA is filed under the name uncultured soil bacterium. RNAcentral describes it as "bacterial SSU rRNA". It matches the Rfam family "Bacterial small subunit ribosomal RNA", at positions 26 to 504 of the family's 1533-position model. The record is from RNAcentral.